AAGUCGGUUGUGAAAGCCUUCCGCUCAACGGAAGAACGGCAUCCGGUACUGCAUGGCUUGAGUGUGGGAGGGGAGAGUGGAACUUCUGGUGGAGCGGUGAAAUGCGUAGAUAUCAGAAGGAACACCGGCGGCGAAGGCGACUCUCUGGUCCAUAACUGACGCUGAGCGUGCGAAAGCUAGGGGAGCAAACGGGAUUAGAUACCCCGGUAGUCCUAGCCGUAAACGAU
RNAcentral lists this ribosomal RNA (227 nucleotides) under uncultured bacterium. RNAcentral's name for it is "partial 16S ribosomal RNA". It matches the Rfam family "Bacterial small subunit ribosomal RNA", at positions 585 to 810 of the family's 1533-position model. The record is from RNAcentral.